Molecule: long non-coding RNA, 1580 nt
Organism: Gasterosteus aculeatus aculeatus (three-spined stickleback)
Lineage: Eukaryota; Metazoa; Chordata; Actinopteri; Perciformes; Gasterosteidae
Source: Ensembl
UCAAUAAAGAGCCCAAAGUGGAAGGGCGGGGACGACAAACAUCAGUGGACAGACUCAAUGUCCCUGAGUUGAGUUCAUGAUGCCCAACGCCCCCCUGAGGCCUCACACCGUGGACCCUGAUCCCUCAGGGACACGAGGCCUCCUGGUGAGAGUCUGCGGGGACUCGUACAGGAACACGGCACCAUGGCAACGGCAAAUAACACGUGAAAUCCAGGGUCAUUUAUACUUUUUACUCCCCGAUUUGAACGUCUUCCAGGCUGUUUCUUCACAAGAUGAGGUUGUUUAAAUGUUUUCACAGGUUUUCUUUAAUGACUAAAACAUUUGAUGAAUAAAUGAGUAACUACCGAUGGAGCGCCUGCAAUGUGUCGAAAGGAAAAAUGCUUGGUUGGACUAAUGAAGGAGAACAUUUAAAAAGUCACUGGCACACAUGAUGACCUCUCAUUGUCCAUCAAGAAGCACCGUGUGGAAAGGUGAUGAUGUAAUGACCACGGCCCACCUCAGCUGGCCAGCUGUUUCUACAGGAGAUGGAUGCAGAGCGUGCAGCCCUACAGAAGGAAGGGGGCGGGACCAGAGGCCCCGAACCUUUGAUCCAACCUUUGGGCUUCUGCCACGUUGUGUGACGUAAGCGAGCAUCUCGCACCUGAAUCAGAGGCAGCAGGGACGCAAAAACGUCCCCACGGAGAUGUCCAACAAGAUCACAGCAUUCAAGCCUAAAAGUGACCUAUGGAAGUCCUAACUGGAUCAGAACCAUCUCGCCCACUUUCCUGGUUGUCAGAGCAUCAAAACCUGAAGCCAGACCUAAACUUUAAUUUACAAGAGUUCACAGCGGGUCACUGCAGGGCUGCAGGCUAACGGCAUUAGCAUAAACUCUACUACUCUCUGGUGGAGCACUGUAGCCGGAGAGCUAAAUGCUAACAUGUUAGCUUGGCAUUAAAUAGACUGUUUGGGUGUGAGUUGUUAAUCCAGAGUAGGUAUUUUAAUCCCAGAUGAGCACCGACCACUAAAUUUAAAACAAGCACAUCCUAAAAGACUAAAAGUGAAUCAAGACACGAAGAGGUAACAUGUAUUUUUAUAAAUAAAGUAAUUUUAUCAGAUUCCAUUGACUUUAUUAUGAUGCGUUCAAGCUCUACUCAGUACAAAUGAGUGCUGAGUGAAGGUAAGAUCAUACCAGUCAUCGAGCUUUUAUUUGAAUUUGAAAGGAAAAACUUGAAUAACUCCAGAGGAUUGAAGUUACAGAAAAAAGGAAAUAAUUCUCAUUAUAUAAUUAUUAUCAAUAAAACUAGAAAUGGAAGAUAAUGUCUUUCAUCAAAGCAAGGGAUUUAGACUUUUUUCUAUGACAUUUUAGACAUAUUUUGACUUUUCUUAAAGAAUGUUUCAUAUAUUUAGACUGUUUUUUUGUAUUUUUGACUUACUCACAUAUUUGGAUUUUCUUUUAAAAUAGAAAUAUGUCCCAAUAUAUUUGGACUUUUUUGUCAAAUUAUUUUUUGACGCAAUAUUUAUUGACUUUGUUUUCAUGACAUGUUUUGACGUAACAUUUUUCGAUUCCUCUUUUGACAUCGUACUUUUUGAACAUCCAACCC